This 567-nucleotide long non-coding RNA is filed under the name Pogona vitticeps (central bearded dragon). Its description in RNAcentral is "lncRNA (ENSPVIG00000001985.1)". The record is from RNAcentral. Lineage: Eukaryota; Metazoa; Chordata; Lepidosauria; Squamata; Agamidae.
AAAAAAAAAAAAAAGGGGGGGGGGGGGGGGAUUUUGGGGGGUUUUUUUCCUCCUUUUUUUUUUUUUUUUUCACCUAUGAGUGUAUGGUACAGUCGCAGCCUCCGCUGGAGGGCUAAGAAGGAAAUCGCAUCGGCUGCCGGGUAAAGAGCAGCCGCUCCAGGCAGCCCCCGGGAGAAACUCGCGCAAUGGAUGGAUGGAUGGAUGGACGGACGGAUGGAUGGGCUGGCAAGCGAAUCCAGAGGAAAUCCGGAGCUGGCCAGGCCCUUUGGAGUCCAGCAUCCCCGCCUGGAUUUGGGAUCACGACUCAACGGCGCUUCUGGCUUGGAUUCUCCUCCUCCUCCUCCUCUUCCUCCUCCUCUUCCUUCCUUUCGUCUGGCCCGCGGAACGUACAGUUGUGGAUUUAUUGUCGCGGUGCGUGCAAGAGCCAAUCUCCUCGCCGCCGCCGCCACCGCCGCCGCCGCCAGCACCACCGCCAGCAGCGCCACCAGCACCGCCAGCAGCUUUCUGACUCUCUUCGGUGACGGGUAUUCUUGGGUGGAUAAUACGGAUUACGUUGUUAUUGCUUAA